This 225-nucleotide non-coding RNA is filed under the name Paracerasibacillus soli. RNAcentral describes it as "Virgibacillus soli T-box sequence". It matches the Rfam family "T-box leader". Rfam says of the family: Uncharged tRNA acts as the effector for transcription antitermination of genes in the T-box leader family. T-boxes are found upstream of many aminoacyl-tRNA synthetase genes and some amino acid biosynthetic genes usually in Gram-positive bacteria. The record is from RNAcentral. Lineage: Bacteria; Bacillati; Bacillota; Bacilli; Caryophanales; Bacillaceae.
AAUGAAACGAUGACAGGGAAAGUACAUUUCUACCUCUUUAUUCAGCGAUCUGGGAUUGGUGCAAGCCUAGAAAAAGUAGAAAUUGAAAAUCACCCAAGAGUUCUUUUGUUGAAAAUCUUUGAUGAGUAAACAGAAGCGGUCCUCCACGAUACGGAAAAGAGUGAGCAAUUUAUCGAAAUUGCUAAAACGGGUGGUACCGCGGGAAAUAGCCUUCUCGUCCCUUAC